UACGUAGGGUGCGAGCGUUGUCCGGAAUUAUUGGGCGUAAAGGGCUCGUAGGCGGUCUGUCGCGUCGGGAGUGAAAACUCAGGGCUUAACCCUGAGCCUGCUUCCGAUACGGGCAGACUAGAGGUAUGCAGGGGAGAACGGAAUUCCUGGUGUAGCGGUGAAAUGCGCAGAUAUCAGGAGGAACACCGGUGGCGAAGGCGGUUCUCUGGGCCUGACCUGACGCUGAGGAGCGAAAGCGUGGGGAGCGAACAGG
This 253-nucleotide ribosomal RNA is filed under the name uncultured bacterium. RNAcentral's name for it is "partial 16S ribosomal RNA". It matches the Rfam family "Bacterial small subunit ribosomal RNA", at positions 524 to 776 of the family's 1533-position model. The record is from RNAcentral.